CCUACGGGCGACAGCAGUGAGGAAUAUUGGUCAAUGGACGAGAGUCUGAACCAGCCAAGUAGCGUGAAGGAUGACUGCCCUAUGGGUUGUAAACUUCUUUUAUAUGGGAAUAAAAUGUUCCACGUGUGGGAGUUUGUAUGUACCAUAUGAAUAAGGAUCGGCUAACACCGUGCAAGCAGCCGCGGUAAUACGGAGGGUCCGAGCGUUAUCCGGAUUUAUUGGGUUUAAGGGGAGCGUAGGUGGAUUGUUAAGUCAGUUGUGAAAGUUUGCGGUUCAACCGUAAAAUUGCAGUUGAAACUGGCAGUCUGGAGUAUAGUAGAGGUGGGCGGAAUUCGUGGUGUAGCGGUGAAAUGCUUAGAUAUCACGAAGAACUCCGAUUGCGAAGGCAGUUCACUGGACUGCAACUGACACUGAGGCUCGAAAGUGUGGGUAUCAAACAGGAUUAGAUACCCCUGUAGUC
Molecule: ribosomal RNA, 460 nt
Filed under: uncultured bacterium
Lineage: Bacteria
Description: partial 16S ribosomal RNA
Rfam family: Bacterial small subunit ribosomal RNA
Source: RNAcentral